RNAcentral lists this ribosomal RNA (367 nucleotides) under Branchipus schaefferi. RNAcentral's name for it is "partial large subunit ribosomal RNA". It matches the Rfam family "Bacterial large subunit ribosomal RNA", at positions 2013 to 2597 of the family's 2925-position model. Lineage: Eukaryota; Metazoa; Arthropoda; Branchiopoda; Anostraca; Branchipodidae. The record is from RNAcentral.
CAGCUGUCUCAGGGAUUUAUUUGAAGUUGAUAUUUAGGUGAGAAAGCUUAGAUGAUCUUGGAGGACGAUCAGACCCUAUGGAACUUUACAAAGAUCAGAGGAAGGGAUUUAGAUGUAAGAGCCCUGUUUUCUAGUGUUUGUUUAGUUGGGGCGACAAUGANAGUGGAUCUAUCCCUCAUAAAAUAAAAUCAAAGACUUUUGGAUGAUGAUCCUGAAAGGAGAAUAGGAACAAGCUACCCUAGGGGUAACAGCGUUAUCCCUCUUGAGAGUUCGUAUCGACAGGGGGGUUUGCGACCUCGAUGUUGGAUCAGGGUACCUUCUUGGUGCAGCCGUCUUGAAAGGNAGUCUGUUCGACUGUUAAAUCCCU